Molecule: ribosomal RNA, 349 nt
Filed under: uncultured bacterium
Lineage: Bacteria
Description: bacterial SSU rRNA
Rfam family: Bacterial small subunit ribosomal RNA
Source: RNAcentral
AGAGUUUGAUCCUGGCUCAGGAUGAACGCUAGCUACAGGCUUAACACAUGCAAGUCGAGGGGCAGCAUGAUUGAAGCUUGCUUCAAUUGAUGGCGACCGGCGCACGGGUGAGUAACGCGUAUCCAACCUGCCCACCACUUGGGGAUAACCUUGCGAAAGUAAGACUAAUACCCAAUGACGUCUCUAGAAGACAUCUGAAAGAGAUUAAAGAUUUAUCGGUGAUGGAUGGGGAUGCGUCUGAUUAGCUUGUUGGCGGGGUAACGGCCGCAAGGCUACGAUCAGUAGGGGUUCUGAGAGGAAGGUCCCCCANAUUGGAACUGAGACACGGUCCAAACUCCUACGGGAGGCA